This 75-nucleotide transfer RNA is filed under the name Ralstonia psammae. Its description in RNAcentral is "Ralstonia sp. LMG 19083 tRNA-Ser". The record is from RNAcentral. Lineage: Bacteria; Pseudomonadati; Pseudomonadota; Betaproteobacteria; Burkholderiales; Burkholderiaceae.
GACGGCGCUGGACGGCAUGCGUUCGCUGCUCUGGCUGGAGUCCGAAGCGGGCGGUGCGGAACUGCCCGCCGCCGC